CUCUAUACGGAGUUACAAAGGACGACAUUAGACGAAUCAUCUGGAAAGAUGAAUCAAAGAAGGUAAUAAUCCUGUAGUCGAAAAUGUUGUCUCUCUUGAGUGGAUCCUGAGUACGACGGAGCACGUGAAAUUCCGUCGGAAUCUGGGAGGACCAUCUCCUAAGGCUAAAUACUCUCUAGUGACCGAUAGUGAACCAGUACCGUGAGGGAAAGGUGAAAAGCACCCCGGAAGGGGAGUGAAAUAGAACCUGAAACCGUGUGCUUACAAGUAGUCAGAGCCCGUUAAUGGGUGAUGGCGUGCCUUUUGUAGAAUGAACCGGCGAGUUACGAUUUGAUGCAAGGUUAAGCAGUAAAUGUGGAGCCGUAGCGAAAGCGAGUCUGAAUAGGGCGUUUAGUAUUUGGUCGUAGACCCGAAACCAGGUGAUCUACCCUUGGUCAGGUUGAAGUUCAGGUAACACUGAAUGGAGGACCGAACCGACUUACGUUGAAAAGUGAGCGGAUGAACUGAGGGUAGCGGAGAAAUUCCAAUCGAACCUGGAGAUAGCUGGUUCUCUCCGAAAUAGCUUUAGGGCUAGCCUCAAGUGAUGAUUAUUGGAGGUAGAGCACUGUUUGGACGAGGGGCCCCUCUCGGGUUACCGAAUUCAGACAAACUCCGAAUGCCAAUUAAUUUAACUUGGGAGUCAGAACAUGGGUGAUAAGGUCCGUGUUCGAAAGGGAAACAGCCCAGACCACCAGCUAAGGUCCCAAAAUAUAUGUUAAGUGGAAAAGGAUGUGGCGUUGCCCAGACAACUAGGAUGUUGGCUUAGAAGCAGCCAUCAUUUAAAGAG
This 826-nucleotide ribosomal RNA is filed under the name Staphylococcus aureus. RNAcentral describes it as "bacterial LSU rRNA". It matches the Rfam family "Bacterial large subunit ribosomal RNA", at positions 308 to 1130 of the family's 2925-position model. The record is from RNAcentral. Lineage: Bacteria; Bacillati; Bacillota; Bacilli; Caryophanales; Staphylococcaceae.